AGAAUCAACGCUGGCGGCGUGCCUAACACAUGCAAGUCGAACGCGAAAGUCCCGAAAGGGAUAAGUAGAGUGGCAAACGGGUGAGUAACACGUGGGUGACCUGCCUUCGAGCGGGGGAUAACGUCCCGAAAGGGACGCUAAUACCGCAUGACAUCCUGCCUUUGAAGAGGCGGAGAUCAAAGCCGGGAUCGCAAGACCUGGCACUCGAAGAGGGGCCCGCGCCUGAUUAGCUAGUUGGUGGGUAAUGGCUCACCAAGGCGACGAUCAGUA
Molecule: ribosomal RNA, 270 nt
Filed under: uncultured bacterium
Lineage: Bacteria
Description: partial small subunit ribosomal RNA
Rfam family: Bacterial small subunit ribosomal RNA
Source: RNAcentral